This 408-nucleotide ribosomal RNA is filed under the name uncultured bacterium. RNAcentral describes it as "partial 16S ribosomal RNA". It matches the Rfam family "Bacterial small subunit ribosomal RNA", at positions 28 to 526 of the family's 1533-position model. The record is from RNAcentral.
GACGAACGCUGACGGCGUGCUUAACACAUGCACGUCGAAGGGAGUGGCGAACGGGUGAGUAACACGUGAGUAACCUGCCCUUUUCUUUGGGAUAAGCCUGGGAAAAUGGGUAUAAUAAUGGCUGGAUUGGGAUGGGCUCGAGGCUUAUCAGCUUGUUGGUGGGGUGAUGGCUUACAAAGGCUUUGACGGGUAGCCGGGCUGAGAGGGUGGUCGGUCACACUGUGACUGAGAUACGGCCCGGACUCCUACGGGAGGCAGCAGUGGUGGAUAUUGCACAAUGGACGAAAGUCGGAUGCAGCGACGUCGUGUGGGGGAUGAAGGCCUUCGGGUUGUAAACUCCUUUCGCCCGCGGAAUGGUAGUGGGUAAAGAAGCGCCGGCUAACUACGUGCCAGCAGCCGCGGUAAUUC